RNAcentral lists this unclassified non-coding RNA (189 nucleotides) under Glomeraceae sp. RNAcentral's name for it is "partial contains 5.8S ribosomal RNA and internal transcribed spacer 2". The stretch from base 1 to 71 matches the Rfam family "5.8S ribosomal RNA", at positions 84 to 154 of the family's 154-position model. The record is from RNAcentral. Lineage: Eukaryota; Fungi; Glomeromycota; Glomeromycetes; Glomerales; Glomeraceae.
GUGAAUCAUCGAAUUUUUGAACGCAAAUUGCGCUUCCUAGCAUCCCGGGGAGUAUGCCUGUUUGAGGGUCAGUAUUAACCAACAACUCGGUUUGGUUGCAAAUUGUGACGUUUCCGGGGUUUGAGCUAUCUUGACUUUUUUGGUUAAGGUGCUUGAAAUUUACCUUUUUUGCGCAUUUUUUGACGUACA